Molecule: small nuclear RNA, 119 nt
Organism: Cimex lectularius (bed bug)
Lineage: Eukaryota; Metazoa; Arthropoda; Insecta; Hemiptera; Cimicidae
Product: U5 spliceosomal RNA
Exons: 1
Source: RefSeq, a predicted model, not a curated record
UGACUCUGGUCUCCCUUCAUAACAAAUAAAUCUUUCACCUUUUACUAAAGAUUUCCGUGGAGGGGGACUCACUGAUGAGUGUAAUAAUAGGUUAUUAAGCACAAAACAAUAGAUUUUUC